Molecule: ribosomal RNA, 253 nt
Filed under: uncultured bacterium
Lineage: Bacteria
Description: partial 16S ribosomal RNA
Rfam family: Bacterial small subunit ribosomal RNA
Source: RNAcentral
UACAGAGGGGGCAAGCGUUAUUCGGAAUUAUUGGGCGUAAAGGGCGCGUAGGCGGCUUGGCAAGUGGAUGGUGAAAUCCCUCGGCUUAACCGAGGAACUGCCGUCCAAACUGCUUCGCUUGAGACCGGGAGAGGUGAGUGGAAUUCCCAGUGUAGCGGUGAAAUGCGUAGAUAUUGGGAGGAACACCAGUGGCGAGGGCGGCUCACUGGACCGGUACUGACGCUGAUGCGCGAAAGCGUGGGGAGCAAACGGG